Long non-coding RNA from Panthera uncia (snow leopard), 681 nucleotides. RefSeq lists it as uncharacterized. NCBI's taxonomy places the organism in Eukaryota, Metazoa, Chordata, Mammalia, Carnivora, Felidae. The transcript is spliced from 3 exons. The record is from RefSeq and is a predicted model, not a curated record.
GGGCCUUUGUCCACCGUUCCUGUCCACCCCCACUCAAGAGAGCCCGAGGAGGAAGCAUUUUGGAUAUAGGACGCCCAGCCCCCCUCCCCCACAGACACCCCCAAACACAUUCUGCUGGUUCCUGCAGCGAGGGGGUGCGGUAGAGCCCAGCCCGCCACCCCCCCUCCACCCCAGCGGGUCCAGCUGGGGAACAGGGCGACUGUCCUGCGCUGGUGGGGGUGUGGCCUGCUGGCCAAGGUUGUGCUUAGAGCUGGCUCCUGCUGAAUAGUGGGUCGUCAAGUCCUCCUUUCCUCUCCCCCCCCCCACCCUGGGGGUCACAGAAGAAGGCAGGGCCUUGAAAAGUUACUUUCCGCCUCUCCCUGAGACUUGGCCUUUCCAACCUGGGUGGCUGGCUGUCCUUGGGAGGUCACUCCUCCUCUCGAAACUCAGUCUCUCCAUCCACGCAACGGGAGCUGUUUUCCUGAGUCAAGGCUGAGGUGGGAUGCUAGGACACCCUGCGGAAGACUGAGCGCGAGCAUGGGGAGCCCCAUCCCCGCUUCCCCACCCGCCCUGGGGCCCCAUUACCAGCCGACGAGAAGGGCAGCGAUACAACUCCAGGCGGUUGGAGUAGAGCCUCUCCUAGGACCUGCUGGGACCUGUCUCCAGAACCGAGUGGGAUCAGGGGGUGGACGGGGGCGCCUG